Molecule: ribosomal RNA, 460 nt
Filed under: uncultured bacterium
Lineage: Bacteria
Description: partial 16S ribosomal RNA
Rfam family: Bacterial small subunit ribosomal RNA
Source: RNAcentral
CCUACGGGAGGCAGCAGUGAGGAAUAUUGGUCAAUGGACGAGAGUCUGAACCAGCCAAGUAGCGUGAAGGAUGACUGCCCUAUGGGUUGUAAACUUCUUUUAUAAAGGAAUAAAACGAGGCACGUGUGCCUUUUUGCAUGUACUUUAUGAUUAAGGAUCGGCUAACUCCGUGCCAGCAGCCGCGGUAAUACGGAGGAUCCGAGCGUUAUCCGGAUUUAUUGGGUUUAAAGGGAGCGUAGAUGGGUUGUUAAGUCAGUUGUGAAAGUUUGCGGCUCAACCGUAAAAUUGCAAUUGAUACUGGCAGUCGUGAGUACAGUUGAGGUAGGCGGAAUUCGUGGUGUAGCGGUGAAAUGCUUAGAUAUCACGAAGAACCCCGAUUGCGAAGGCAGCUUACUAAACUGUGACUGACAUUGAUGCUCGAAAGUGUGGGUAUCAAACAGGAUUAGAUACCCGAGUAGUC